Molecule: ribosomal RNA, 259 nt
Filed under: uncultured bacterium
Lineage: Bacteria
Description: partial 16S ribosomal RNA
Rfam family: Bacterial small subunit ribosomal RNA
Source: RNAcentral
UUGGCGGACGGGUGAGUAACGCGUGGGUAACCUGCCCUGUACAGGGGGAUAACAGCUGGAAACGGCUGUUAAUACCGCAUAAGCGCACAGGAGCGCAUGCUCCGGUGUGAAAAACUCUGGUGGUACAGGAUGGACCCGCGUCUGAUUAGCUGGUUGGCGGGGUAACGGCCCACCAAGGCAACGAUCAGUAGCCGGCCUGAGAGGGUGAACGGCCACAUUGGGACUGAGACACGGCCCAAACUCCUACGGGAGGCAGCAG